GUUGGCUCCUUUUGUUUUCUCUGUCCAGAGACAACCCGAGCAGUUGGCUGGUUCACCUUCUACAAUGAGAAACGGCCACUCAUCAACACACAGAGUCUUGUCAUCCCCCUCCGGUUGAGCAAACUGCAAAGACAUACUAUCAUACCAAUGUACAAACCUCAUGAGGAAGGAUCCGCACGGAAGACUGAUCCCAGUCCUCAGGCGCAUCCCAGGACUCAGUUUCCUUGAAGGGGUCAAGGGGACGUGGACGUGAAACCUCUCCCUUCACAACCACGGUGGUAGCAAAGGGUCUCACAGUCGGGGGUGACUUGGGAGGAGACACAGGCGGAGGUGUAACAGGCAGAGGUGACUGUAGCUGCCGAAAGGAGAAGUGCCACAGAAGCUUCGCGAGAAGCGGCAUCCCCAGAUCGUCACUCAGGUGGAUCUAUUAUAAUGAGAAGCACGGGUUAUUAUUGAAAUAAACUGCUUUUGCCAUAUAAAAAUGACAUUACAUGAAUUUCUCACGUGCCAAGUUAUAACACGACUUACCCCAUCACGACUCCACAA
Gadus morhua (Atlantic cod) is the source of this 546-nucleotide long non-coding RNA. RefSeq lists it as uncharacterized. NCBI's taxonomy places the organism in Eukaryota, Metazoa, Chordata, Actinopteri, Gadiformes, Gadidae. The transcript is spliced from 4 exons. The record is from RefSeq and is a predicted model, not a curated record.